UUCUUUACACGUUGCUCACACAUGGUAUUUCUUCUACAGAUUUCUGGCCUUCCACCGACUUCCCGACACCUUUUCACUUUCCUUCCCUUCCAUAACUCAUUCACUCCUUCCUCGAAUACCCCUCUCCCACCGUCUAUUCAAAAACCCUAUUAUCGCUCCUUUCACCUCCACUCAUAUCCGUUGUCGUCCUCCGGUGACUUCCCGUUUUCCAUUCCCGAUUCCCUCAAUUAGGGUUGGGUUUGUUGUCGUUGUUUCCAAUCUUCUACCGCCUCAUAUCUCUAUUCUUCUUUUCACCGCCUUCGUUUUUCUUCCCACUUCCAUCUACAAUACCAGAGGCAGAAGUCGAUGUUCAUCGCCAAUGCCACCGGUUGAUGUUUCUGGUCUAAAUCGAUGUCACUAUUCUUCCAAUCUUUUUCGAUUCUAGGGUUCAGGCGAAACAGUGACAGACCGAAGGACAAGAAAGCGGCAUGUCGGCCCAGCCAACGGCGGCUCCACCGCCUAUUUUGUUUAUCUGGGUUUCCAACGACUAUGGGGUUGGUGAAUCGGACACCUGAUUUUGGUUUUUUAAUUUAGAUGAAUUUUUCUACGGAUUCGUUGCAGCUCAACAAUCCUCGGUUUGUUGUCGAUUUUGCGUCCUCUGCGUUCCCUCUGUUCCAAGAUCCACCAUAUCAUUAUCUCCGGAGGAAUGGACUGCACCUUAAACAAUCAGACGGUGCCACCCUUCCCAAGAAAUCCAACUCUCAGGUAUCAGUUGCUGCAUGUGCUUCCCACCGUUAUCUUUUUUUCUUAUAUAAAACCUAUUUCGAGCGGUGCUUUCUUCUGAUAUUCAUCAGUUCCAUGUGAAUGUUCUUGGUAGGUGUUUCCUAUUUAACAAUCAUGACAUUUCCUCUUCUAAUUUUGGAUAAACCUGCUCUGUGAAAAAUCUAAUUUGGGGCUUAUUACAUUGUUUUUGUUGUUCAAAUCUGACAUGUUUGAAGAUGCACAUCAAGUGCUUGGUGAAAUUCUUCAAAGAACCGAUAAGAUUACUUUUUCAGCAUCGACUACACAACCUUCUUACUCAUGGUGUUUCAUAUAACUUUUUAGUGGUUUACGUUUGACUUUGGAGGGUAGUAUUGGAAAGCAAGACGGGUAACUGUUCAAACAAUUAGAAUUCAGGAAAAACAUGUUUCAAAGUCAAACUUUUACUCAUAUAAAUUCACUCUCAACUUCAUGAACGACUGCUCAAUCGAUCGUCCUCCAUUUAUCAAUUACUUACUUUUUGUGUUUUUUUUUUUUAUUUCUUGGGUUUUUUUAAACUUAUUCAACAAAAAUAUAAGAAGUUAAAAAAGACUUCUUUUAUUGAGAUUUCUUCCUUUACUCAUUCCUGACUUUGACUUUAUUCACAUUAUUUGUCAAUAUUUCAGGCUACAUACUCCCCCCUGGAACUUAUAUCAAGAGCUGAGUUCAAGUUUAUCAAGUUCAGCAUCAACUAUUUUCUAUAUUUUUUCGUAUUUCAACAUGCAACUUACAACUCUCCUACAGCAAAUGACUUAAACCCUUAAAAAAAGGUUUUUUUUGGAAAAGGCCGUUGAUGGAAACAAACCAAAUUAUGGUUCCAAUUUCAAUGUUGACUUAAACCAUAUAAAUAUUUGGGUUUGAAUGAUAAUUAGUUAAUAUGCAUACUUCUUAUAUGAUUUCGGCGAGUUUGAAUAUCUUUUUGAAAUUAUUUUUAGAAUGUUAGUGUCAACAUUCUGAUGGGAUUAUAGCACAAGUUGGUUGUUUUGUUCCUUGUGCUAAAACUUCCAUUUUUAUCCAUAGCUGUAUUUUUGCUCCUAUUAUGUCUGUUAAAUUCCCUUUUUUACAAAAUUUAAUUUAGUAGUGCAUCACUUUACUCUAAAAUAAAUAGGGAUCUUUAUGCUCAUUGUUCCUAAAUGAAAUCCCUUAAUGGUUGUGUUUUAUUAUUAUAAUUAAAGUGUUAUUAUGAGUUAUUUGUUUCUACAUAAAGGGUUGCAGUAAUUGUUAUCUAAAAUUUGCGGUUUAUUCUGAAAUGGACUAAAUUGCCCCUAUGUUUGCUUUUGGUUUGUUUGUUGGUGCACUUGAGAGUAUAUUUCCUCUUUUUCUUUCUUGCCCAAUUUUACAUUGAUAUUGUUAAGGGGCUCAACAAAUUUGGUAUUCAAGGAUCAUAGGAUGAUAUGAUACCAUUAUCAUGGCUGAUAACAUAACUCAUUUUUUAUGUAAAGAAAUAUAAGUACAUUGGUAUUAUGAGAAAAGUGUUGUAAUGUUGUUGCAGUUAUGUGUAUACAAAUGUAAGUCCAUUGUUGCUAUGGGUAAAAAAAAG
This 2317-nucleotide long non-coding RNA is filed under the name Lactuca sativa (garden lettuce). RNAcentral describes it as "long non-coding RNA (LSAT_LNC006291)". The record is from RNAcentral. Lineage: Eukaryota; Viridiplantae; Streptophyta; Magnoliopsida; Asterales; Asteraceae.